CUUUGAAUUUAAUUUGUAUAUUAUUUAUUGUCACUACAUCUCAUAAAAUAAACAUGUACUUAAUCAGGAUCAUUUAUGUUGAUUGUAUUAAACAAAAUGUAAUUAAAAGGUGUGGUAAACGUUAGAAAUCUCUUUAAAGAUGUUGAUGGAACCUCAUGUAUGGGUUGGUCUUUUUUUUAUUUCAGUGUUUUUAUUUAUGAACAAAUAUAUGGGAGAACUUUGACAUAUGACAUAAUGUUAAUAUAUAGGAUAUUUCUUAUAAAUGAAGAUUUUCACCAAUAUAAGCAUUUUAUGUCUUUUGUCCUGAAAACUGUAAUAGUUAUAGAUAAACAACUGUAAAAUAGCAACCAUGCUUUAUUACUAUCUUUGAAUAAAACCUUUAAAUGAAUCUUUACACGAGUUCUGGACCUUAGAUUGUAACAGUUGACAAUUUUUUAUACAACAAUACUGAAUGUGGAAAUUCUAACAUGAACAAAAUACUCAGAACAAGACAGAACUACCAAAAUUGUAAUUCAGUUGUUGCCCUUUGAUUGGGAUUUUUCUCUUGAACAGAAGAAUAGAUAAAUAUAGAAUGAGAAAAUACACAUGCAAACUUAAUAAACAUGUCAAAUAUUUCAUUUAGCAUUGCUAGGGAAAAUAGAAUAUUUAUACAGAUUUUUAGAAAAGCAUACGUGUUUAGUUGUGUGAUUAAACUACACAGAAUAUAAGUGUGAGAAUUUUAUUGGUGCAAUAUAGACUUUUUAGUAUGAGUAUUAGCAUUAAGUGGACUUAUACCGGAAAUCUCAUCUUAUUCAUAUAUUGACUUUCCAAAGGCAAGCUCUACAUACUAAUUUCAUUUUUUCUCUUUUAAUCUUAUUUUCUUUUCAUCUGUAAAACAUUUUAUUUGAAAACAAUAACAUAUAAAUUGACUGACUUGUAACUUUU
This 924-nucleotide long non-coding RNA is filed under the name Mytilus galloprovincialis (Mediterranean mussel). Lineage: Eukaryota; Metazoa; Mollusca; Bivalvia; Mytilida; Mytilidae. The record is from RNAcentral.